UACGGGGGGGGCAAGCGUUGUUCGGAAUUACUGGGCGUAAAGGGCGCGUAGGUGGCCAACUAAGUCAGACGUGAAAUCCCUCGGCUUAACCGGGGAACUGCGUCUGAUACUGGAUGGCUUGAGUUUGGGAGAGGGACGCGGAAUUCCAGGUGUAGCGGUGAAAUGCGUAGAUAUCUGGAGGAACACCGGUGGCGAAGGCGACAUCCUGGACCGGUAUUGACGCUGAGGCGCGAAAGCCAGGGGAGCAAACGGG
This 253-nucleotide ribosomal RNA is filed under the name uncultured bacterium. RNAcentral's name for it is "partial 16S ribosomal RNA". It matches the Rfam family "Bacterial small subunit ribosomal RNA", at positions 524 to 776 of the family's 1533-position model. The record is from RNAcentral.